RNAcentral lists this ribosomal RNA (290 nucleotides) under uncultured bacterium. RNAcentral's name for it is "partial 16S ribosomal RNA". It matches the Rfam family "Bacterial small subunit ribosomal RNA", at positions 29 to 334 of the family's 1533-position model. The record is from RNAcentral.
AACGAACGCUGGCGGCACGCCUAACACAUGCAAGUCGAACGGUAACGGGUACUUCGGUACGCCGACGAGUGGCGAACGGGUGAGUAACACGUGGAUACCUGUCCUAGGGUACGGGACAACAGUUAGAAAUGACUGCUAAUACCGUAUACGUCCUAAGGGAGAAAGAUUUAUUGCCCCUGGAGGGGUCCGCGUCGGAUUAGCUAGUUGGUGGGGUAACGGCCCACCAAGGCGACGAUCCGUAGCUGGUCUUAGAGGACGAUCAGCCACACUGGGACUGAGACACGGCCCAG